CAACUACUCCCUCUGUCCCAAAUUUCUUGUCUUAGAUUUGUCUAGAUACAGAUGUAUCUAAUACUAAAAUGUGACUUGAUACAUCCGUAUCUACACAAAUCUAUGACAAGAAUUUUGGGACGGAGGGAGUACUUU
Molecule: non-coding RNA, 135 nt
Organism: Triticum aestivum (bread wheat)
Lineage: Eukaryota; Viridiplantae; Streptophyta; Magnoliopsida; Poales; Poaceae
Source: Rfam